This 449-nucleotide unclassified non-coding RNA is filed under the name Trypanosomatidae sp. LW-2010C1. RNAcentral's name for it is "partial trans-spliced leader; may also contain exon sequence". Lineage: Eukaryota; Euglenozoa; Kinetoplastea; Trypanosomatida; Trypanosomatidae. The record is from RNAcentral.
UGAGAAGCUUCCGGAACUCUUGUUCUGGCAAAUUUUGGACUGAAGCCUUCGGGCUUCAUUUUUUUUGUUUCACUUUUCGUUUCCUUCACCCGCCGCUCCCCCGGCGCUCGCGGCUCAGCUCCCUCCCUUUCCCGCCGUACGCCGCCGCGGGAACCCCCACCGUGCGCAGCCACCAUGCUGAGCGGAGAGCUCCACGUACACCAUACCCCGUCCGAUCUGCCAAGUGAAGCUGCUGCGUGCCGAGUUGGCGCGCCGUGGCCAGCGGGGGCCCGGGACCCUAAAAGGGUUUUGCGCGCCCCCUCAGCUUGGCUUGGCCGCUCCCGCUUCCUUCCUUCCUCGCACAACACCCGUCGAGCGGUUCCCCCAUGCAAAUCGACCGGGAGACAGCGAGCUGGAUGGAGAAGGCUUUUAACUAACGCUAUUAUUGUUACAGUUUCUGUACUUUAUUG